ACUGAAGUCAGACAAGAACACAGAGAAAACAGACACGGGAGAGGCCAGUGGCCUGUGUACAGUGCUGGUCACAGAGCGGGGGAGCUGCAUCCAGCCUGAGACGGGUGACCCACCCCCCAGGGGACCACCACUCAAGGUUACCACCCCCGCCCACACCAGGUGGCGCCAGUGGUAAAGAACCCGUCUGACAUCACGGGAGGAUGUGGUGUGGGGGAGGUCUGGAGCUACUCCAUCUACUUCCAAAGACGCAUCUCACAGGAGUCAGCCUGAUUUACGUAAAACCAUAAGCAUGACGGAGAGUGAGUCUCCAGAGCUCCAACCCCUCCGGUUACCUAAGUAGUCAGCGUACGUCCCGUAAGCAAACACUGUGAGCAGCCGGAACGUGGAAGCAAAGUCGCUCUCAGCCAGCUGCGGAAACAUGAGGGGAGAGAAGCAGUG
Molecule: long non-coding RNA, 438 nt
Organism: Bubalus bubalis (water buffalo)
Lineage: Eukaryota; Metazoa; Chordata; Mammalia; Artiodactyla; Bovidae
Exons: 3
Source: RefSeq, a predicted model, not a curated record